RNAcentral lists this ribosomal RNA (763 nucleotides) under Sarcogyne sp. Its description in RNAcentral is "partial large subunit ribosomal RNA". It matches the Rfam family "Eukaryotic large subunit ribosomal RNA", at positions 135 to 916 of the family's 3401-position model. Lineage: Eukaryota; Fungi; Ascomycota; Lecanoromycetes; Acarosporales; Acarosporaceae. The record is from RNAcentral.
GGUCCGAGUUGUAAUUUGCAGAGGAUGCUUCGGGUUCGGCUCCGGUCUAAGUUCCUUGGAACAGGACGUCAUAGAGGGUGAGAAUCCCGUAUGUGACCGGCCGCCACGCCCGUGUGAAGCUCCUUCGACGAGUCGAGUUGUUUGGGAAUGCAGCUCAAAAUGGGUGGUAAAUUUCAUCUAAAGCUAAAUAUUGGCCAGAGACCGAUAGCGCACAAGUAGAGUGAUCGAAAGAUGAAAAGCACUUUGGAAAGAGAGUCAAACAGUACGUGAAAUUGUUGAAAGGGAAGCGCUUGCAACCAGACUUGCCCGCGGGUGAUCAGCCGGUAUUCUUACCGGUGCACUCGCCCGUGGUCAGGCCAGCAUCGGUUUGGGCGGCUGGAUAAAGUCCACCGGAAUGUAGCUCCUCUCGGGGAGUGUUAUAGCCGGAGGUGCCAUGCAGCCCGCCCGGACCGAGGACCGCGCUUCGGCUAGGAUGCUGGCGUAAUGGUUGUAAGCGACCCGUCUUGAAACACGGACCAAGGAGUCUAACAUCUAUGCGAGUGUUUGGGUGUCAAACCCAUGCGCGUAAUGAAAGUGAACGGAGGUGGGAACCCUGAAGGGUGCACCAUCGACCGAUCCUGAUGUCUUCGGAUGGAUUUGAGUAAGAGCAUAGCUGUUGGGACCCGAAAGAUGGUGAACUAUGCCUGAAUAGGGUGAAGCCAGAGGAAACUCUGGUGGAGGCUCGCAGCGGUUCUGACGUGCAAAUCGAUCGUCAAAUUUGGGU